RNAcentral lists this ribosomal RNA (1464 nucleotides) under Lacticaseibacillus casei. RNAcentral's name for it is "Lactobacillus casei 16S ribosomal RNA". It matches the Rfam family "Bacterial small subunit ribosomal RNA". The record is from RNAcentral. Lineage: Bacteria; Bacillati; Bacillota; Bacilli; Lactobacillales; Lactobacillaceae.
GGCGGCGUGCCUAAUACAUGCAAGUCGAACGAGUUCUCGUUGAUGAUCGGUGCUUGCACCGAGAUUCAACAUGGAACGAGUGGCGGACGGGUGAGUAACACGUGGGUAACCUGCCCUUAAGUGGGGGAUAACAUUUGGAAACAGAUGCUAAUACCGCAUAGAUCCAAGAACCGCAUGGUUCUUGGCUGAAAGAUGGCGUAAGCUAUCGCUUUUGGAUGGACCCGCGGCGUAUUAGCUAGUUGGUGAGGUAAUGGCUCACCAAGGCGAUGAUACGUAGCCGAACUGAGAGGUUGAUCGGCCACAUUGGGACUGAGACACGGCCCAAACUCCUACGGGAGGCAGCAGUAGGGAAUCUUCCACAAUGGACGCAAGUCUGAUGGAGCAACGCCGCGUGAGUGAAGAAGGCUUUCGGGUCGUAAAACUCUGUUGUUGGAGAAGAAUGGUCGGCAGAGUAACUGUUGUCGGCGUGACGGUAUCCAACCAGAAAGCCACGGCUAACUACGUGCCAGCAGCCGCGGUAAUACGUAGGUGGCAAGCGUUAUCCGGAUUUAUUGGGCGUAAAGCGAGCGCAGGCGGUUUUUUAAGUCUGAUGUGAAAGCCCUCGGCUUAACCGAGGAAGCGCAUCGGAAACUGGGAAACUUGAGUGCAGAAGAGGACAGUGGAACUCCAUGUGUAGCGGUGAAAUGCGUAGAUAUAUGGAAGAACACCAGUGGCGAAGGCGGCUGUCUGGUCUGUAACUGACGCUGAGGCUCGAAAGCAUGGGUAGCGAACAGGAUUAGAUACCCUGGUAGUCCAUGCCGUAAACGAUGAAUGCUAGGUGUUGGAGGGUUUCCGCCCUUCAGUGCCGCAGCUAACGCAUUAAGCAUUCCGCCUGGGGAGUACGACCGCAAGGUUGAAACUCAAAGGAAUUGACGGGGGCCCGCACAAGCGGUGGAGCAUGUGGUUUAAUUCGAAGCAACGCGAAGAACCUUACCAGGUCUUGACAUCUUUUGAUCACCUGAGAGAUCAGGUUUCCCCUUCGGGGGCAAAAUGACAGGUGGUGCAUGGUUGUCGUCAGCUCGUGUCGUGAGAUGUUGGGUUAAGUCCCGCAACGAGCGCAACCCUUAUGACUAGUUGCCAGCAUUUAGUUGGGCACUCUAGUAAGACUGCCGGUGACAAACCGGAGGAAGGUGGGGAUGACGUCAAAUCAUCAUGCCCCUUAUGACCUGGGCUACACACGUGCUACAAUGGAUGGUACAACGAGUUGCGAGACCGCGAGGUCAAGCUAAUCUCUUAAAGCCAUUCUCAGUUCGGACUGUAGGCUGCAACUCGCCUACACGAAGUCGGAAUCGCUAGUAAUCGCGGAUCAGCACGCCGCGGUGAAUACGUUCCCGGGCCUUGUACACACCGCCCGUCACACCAUGAGAGUUUGUAACACCCGAAGCCGGUGGCGUAACCCUUUUAGGGAGCGAGCCGUCUAAGGUG